AAAGGGGCUUCGGCCCUGAGUAAAGCGGCGCACGGGUGAGUAACACGUGGGUAAUCUGCCCUCGAGUGGGGAAUAACACCGGGAAACCGGUGCUAAUACCGCAUACGAUCACGAUGUCUUCGGAUGUUGUGAUGAAAGGAGCAAUUCGCUCUUGGAGGAGCCCGCGGCUGAUUAGCUAGUUGGUGAGGUAAUGGCUCACCAAGGCUGCGAUCAGUAGCCGGUCUGAGAGGACGGUCGGCCACACUGGAACUGAGACACGGUCCAGACUCCUACGGGAGGCAGCAGUGGGGAAUUUUUCGCAAUGGGGGCAACCCUGACGAAGCAACGCCGCGUGGGUGAUGAAGUAUCUCGGUACGUAAAACCCUUUCGACGGGGAAGAAAACCGCAAGGUUUGACGGUACCCGUAGAAGAAGCCCCGGCUAACUCCGUGCCAGCAGCCGCGGUAAUACGGGGGGGGCAAGCGUUGUUCGGAAUUACUGGGCGUAAAGGGCGCGUAGGCGGUUUGUUAAGUUGAAUGUGAAAACUCUGGGCUUAACCCAGAGCCUGCAUUCAAUACUGGCAGGCUAGAGUUCUGGAGGGGAUAGCGGAAUUCCUGGUGUAGCGGUGAAAUGCGUAGAUAUCAGGAGGAACACCGGUGGCGAAGGCGGCUACCUGGACAGAGUCUGACGCUGAGGCGCGAAAGCUAGGGGAGCAAACAGGAUUAGAUACCCUGGUAGUCCUAGCCCUAAACGAUGGAUACUUGCUGUAACUGGGAUUGAAUCCAGUCGUGGCGAAGCUAACGCAUUAAGUAUCCCGCCUGGGGAGUACGGUCGCAAGGCUGAAACUC
This 826-nucleotide ribosomal RNA is filed under the name uncultured Pseudomonadota bacterium. RNAcentral's name for it is "bacterial SSU rRNA". It matches the Rfam family "Bacterial small subunit ribosomal RNA", at positions 71 to 902 of the family's 1533-position model. Lineage: Bacteria; Pseudomonadati; Pseudomonadota. The record is from RNAcentral.